UACAGAGGAUGCAAGCGUUAUCCGGAAUAACUGGGCGUAAAGGGUCUGUAGGUGGACUUUUAAGUCCUUUGUAAAAUACUGAGGCCUAACCUCAGUUAGGCAAAGGAAACUAAGAGUCUUGAGGAUGGUAGAGGUAGAGGGAAUUUCCAGUGGAGCGGUGAAAUGCGUAGAUAUUGGAAAGAACACCGAUGGCGAAAGCACUCUACUGGGCCAUUCCUGACACUGAUAGACGAAAGCUAGGGGAGCAAAUGGG
RNAcentral lists this ribosomal RNA (253 nucleotides) under uncultured bacterium. RNAcentral describes it as "partial 16S ribosomal RNA". It matches the Rfam family "Bacterial small subunit ribosomal RNA", at positions 524 to 776 of the family's 1533-position model. The record is from RNAcentral.